AGUUAGCAAUGCCGAAGAAAACAAAUGAAAAUGCACAACCAAAUAUGGGUCAUCGUCAUUUUUGUUGUGUUUGGCACUUACUGGUGAAUCUCUUCCCACGACAGAAGGCAGGAAUAAGUUCAUUUGAUGUGCAUUGUGCAGUGCGCAUUUAAAGUAUGGCUGUCAAUUUCCGCUGCGGUUAGAAGUAUUAUGUGGGAUCAGUGAUUAUGGUAUUCCCUAUUAUAUUGGAACCAAUUAUGAUUCUGCUUAAUAAGCCUAUACAGAUGCAACCUACAUGCAUAUUCAAGCUGUAGGUAGGUGUAAUUUCUUCUUCAAUUUUGGCUUCUAAUGUUUUCACUUCAGUUUUAAGAUUUUAAGAUUGAUGAACAAGAUGUUUGAACUAUACGUGCUCUAUUGGACAAGAUGUUUGGAUUUCGGGACUUGCAGGACUAUAUGGAGUUAAUAUAUGUUACCUAGGUA
This is a long non-coding RNA of Papaver somniferum (opium poppy), 459 nucleotides long. RefSeq lists it as uncharacterized. The record is from RefSeq and is a predicted model, not a curated record. The transcript has 2 exons. Lineage: Eukaryota; Viridiplantae; Streptophyta; Magnoliopsida; Ranunculales; Papaveraceae.